GUUGUGUUCCUUCGUACUUGACCUUGGCUUUGUUUCUGACUACAUUAUCUCUUUAUCCUUAUCUGUUCUGUUUGCCGGCUUGCUGUUUACUGUGUACCAGACCCCGGCUAGUCCAAGUUUACGCUGUCUCUUUGUGCCCUUGACCUCGGAUCGCUCCUGACUCUGUAUCUCUCUGCUUUACGUCGAGUCCGGCCACUCUAAGGUCCGGUAGAUGUACCUUCC
Pelobates cultripes (western spadefoot toad) is the source of this 222-nucleotide non-coding RNA. The record is from the annotation of a GenBank genome assembly. Lineage: Eukaryota; Metazoa; Chordata; Amphibia; Anura; Pelobatidae.